CACUCUCGCUUCUUCUUCAAUCAGUCGGAUAAAUCUUUCGCCUUUUACUAAAGAUUUCCGUGGAGGAGGAGCAUUUACGAGAGUUGAGGAAUUUUUCACUCGCUGCUCCUUGUGAGUGGCA
Non-coding RNA from Basidiobolus meristosporus CBS 931.73, 121 nucleotides. The record is from Rfam. Lineage: Eukaryota; Fungi; Basidiobolomycota; Basidiobolomycetes; Basidiobolales; Basidiobolaceae.